RNAcentral lists this long non-coding RNA (674 nucleotides) under Phascolarctos cinereus (koala). RNAcentral describes it as "lncRNA (ENSPCIG00000024979.2)". Lineage: Eukaryota; Metazoa; Chordata; Mammalia; Diprotodontia; Phascolarctidae. The record is from RNAcentral.
CAAACAUUACCUGAUUUGACCCUCACAGCAACCUCGGGAAGCAAGUGCUGUUAUUAUCAUCCCCAAUUUACAGAUGAAAAAAACUGAGCUGAGGGAAGGUUAGGCACCUAUCCAGGGUGGUACAGCUGGUAUGUGUCUGAAGUGGGAUUUGAACUCAGGUCUCCCUAACUCCAAGCCCCACACGUGCCACCUAAAGUAAGAAUUUGAACCUGUCGUCUGACCCCAAAGCAAGUAUCAUUUCCCUCAUGCAUGAGGAUUGACAGACAGAAAGGACUGGACUCGGUAACAAAGGAAGAGAAGUGUUCAUUCACUGUGGAUGAAAGUUCCCGAACUGGCCAAGGUUUGGAUGGACUCAAGAAAAAGCAUGUGCCUCCGGCAGCCUGUGUGCAUUGUCAUGAGAGCUUCCACUUCUCCAUCCUCAGGAAAAGGCAAAGGUGUGUUUUGUGAGAAACUCCCUAGUUUGGAUAGACAGAUUGCUGAGAUGUGUUUCGAUGAAGCUAACAGAUGUGGGAAACCAUUAGUCUGUGGAUUCUACAAGCGUUUUGAUCCAGCUUUACAAUUCUUGUACCAGAAAGUCCGUGAGAGCCACGCGCUAGGGAGAAUACAUCGGAUAGCUGUGGUUAGCAGCCUCUAUCCGGCAGCUUCUCUCAGUUUACUAAGGAAGUCAGGUGUGA